GAAUAUUGGACAAUGGGGGGAACCCUGAUCCAGCCAUGCCGCGUGUGUGAAGAAGGCCUUUUGGUUGUAAAGCACUUUAAGCGCGGAGGAGGCUACCUGGAUUGAUACUUUAGGCUAGUGGACGUUACUCGCAGAAUAAGCACCGGCUAACUCUGUGCCCGCGGCCGCGAGAAUACAGAGGGUUCGCGCGUUAAUCGGAUUUACUGGGCGUAAAGCGUGCGUAGGAGGCCAAUUAAGUCAAAUGUGAAAGCCCCGAGCUUAACUUGGGAAUUGCAUUCGAUACUGGUUGGCUAGAGUAUGGGAGAGGACGGUAGAAUUCCAGGUGUAGCGGUGAAAUGCGUAGAGAUCUGGAGGAAUACCGAUGGCGAAGGCAGCCAUCUGGCCUAAUACUGACACUGAGGUGCGAAAGCAUGGGGAGCAAACAG
RNAcentral lists this ribosomal RNA (425 nucleotides) under uncultured bacterium. RNAcentral's name for it is "partial 16S ribosomal RNA". It matches the Rfam family "Bacterial small subunit ribosomal RNA", at positions 359 to 775 of the family's 1533-position model. The record is from RNAcentral.